GCGAGCUUGCCUAGAUGAUUUUAGUGCUUGCACUAAAUGAAACUAGAUACAAGCGAGCGGCGGACGGGUGAGUAACACGUGGGUAACCUGCCCAAGAGACUGGGAUAACACCUGGAAACAGAUGCUAAUACCGGAUAACAACGCUAGACGCAUGUCUAGAGUUUGAAAGAUGGUUCUGCUAUCACUCUUGGAUGGACCUGCGGUGCAUUAGCUAGUUGGUAAGGUAACGGCUUACCAAGGCAAUGAUGCAUAGCCGAGUUGAGAGACUGAUCGGCCACAUUGGGACUGAGACACGGCCCAAACUCCUACGGGAGGCAGCAGUAGGGAAUCUUCCACAAUGGACGAAAGUCUGAUGGAGCAACGCCGCGUGAGUGAAGAAGGGUUUCGGCUCGUAAAGCUCUGUUGGUAGUGAAGAAAGAUAGAGGUAGUAACUGGCCUUUAUUUGACGGUAAUUACUUAGAAAGUCACGGCUAACUACGUGCCAGCAGCCGCGGUAAUACGUAGGUGGCAAGCGUUGUCCGGAUUUAUUGGGCGUAAAGCGAGUGCAGGCGGUUCAAUAAGUCUGAUGUGAAAGCCUUCGGCUCAACCGGAGAAUUGCAUCAGAAACUGUUGAACUUGAGUGCAGAAGAGGAGAGUGGAACUCCAUGUGUAGCGGUGGAAUGCGUAGAUAUAUGGAAGAACACCAGUGGCGAAGGCGGCUCUCUGGUCUGCAACUGACGCUGAGGCUCGAAAGCAUGGGUAGCGAACAGGAUUAGAUACCCUGGUAGUCCAUGCCGUAAACGA
RNAcentral lists this ribosomal RNA (783 nucleotides) under uncultured bacterium. RNAcentral's name for it is "bacterial SSU rRNA". It matches the Rfam family "Bacterial small subunit ribosomal RNA", at positions 53 to 809 of the family's 1533-position model. The record is from RNAcentral.